Molecule: unclassified non-coding RNA, 259 nt
Organism: Callithrix jacchus (white-tufted-ear marmoset)
Lineage: Eukaryota; Metazoa; Chordata; Mammalia; Primates; Cebidae
Rfam family: Metazoan signal recognition particle RNA
About the family: The signal recognition particle (SRP) is a universally conserved ribonucleoprotein.
Source: Ensembl
GCAUGGUGGCAUCCUAGCACCUCGGGAAGCUGGGAUGGGAGGAUCACUUGAGCCUAGGAGUUCUGGGCUAUAGUAUGCUAUGUUGAUAGGGUAUCUACAUUAAGUUCAGCAUCAAUUUGGUGACUUCUUGGGAGUGGGGACCACCUUGCCUAAGGUGGAGUGAACUGACCCAGGUUGGAAAUGUGCUGAUCAGUAGUGGGAUCAUGCCUGUGAAUAGUCACUGCAACCCAGCCUGGGCAACAGUGAAACUUCAUCUCUA